AAGUGGAAACUCCAAGCCAACAAUUGGAGAGCUUGUUGAUGAAGUGUUGGCAGAGAAUAAAUCAGGAAGAUCUGAUUCUGAAUGAUGUAAGCUGUGAAUUCGUCGCGAACCAUUCAUUUGGCAGCUAGGUAAUGAGAAGUAGCUUGAUUCAGGAGUUGUUGGAGAGACAAAUGAUGGCGAAUAACCCCCUACCAGAUUGUCAUAGUCGAGAACCAUUCAUUUCGCAGCUAGGUAAUGAGAAGUAGCUUGAUUCAGGUGUUGUAGGGGAGACAAAUGAUGGUGAAUAACCUCCUACCAAAUUGUCAUCAACUUGUGACACUUGAAAAUGCAGAUUUUCGUCUACGAAACCAGAGAAUGUAGGUGAAAAUGGGAAAGAACAUGUUGUUUCUUUCUUGUUCAAGUCAUUAGUAUUCACUCUUAAAUUUGCUUGUAAGUUCGCGAGCAUCUGGUUCGAUCGUUCUAUUUUUGGAUAGUUGGCUUGUUUCUUGAAUUCAUGUUUCUCUGGUGAUGUUGGUUGUGCAGCAGAGUUAAAGGCUUGGUUACAAGUAUGUGAACCUUUAU
RNAcentral lists this long non-coding RNA (561 nucleotides) under Nicotiana benthamiana. RNAcentral's name for it is "long non-coding RNA (NBEN_LNC036612)". The record is from RNAcentral. Lineage: Eukaryota; Viridiplantae; Streptophyta; Magnoliopsida; Solanales; Solanaceae.